GAUGAACGCUGGCGGCGCGCCUAAUACAUGCAAGUCGAGCGAACAGACGAGGAGCUUGCUCCUCUGACGUUAGCGGCGGACGGGUGAGUAACACGUGGAUAACCUACCUAUAAGACUGGGAUAACUUCGGGAAACCGGCGCUAAUACCGGAUAAUAUAUUGAACCGCAUGGUUCAAUAGUGAAAGACGGUUUUGCUGUCACUUAUAGAUGGAUCCGCGCCGCAUUAGCUAGUUGGUAAGGUAACGGCUUACCAAGGCAACGAUGCGUAGCCGACCUGAGAGGGGGAUCGGCCACACUGGAACUGAGACACGGUCCAGACUCCUACGGGAGGCAGCAGUAGGGAAUCUUCCGCAAGGGGCGAAAGCCGGACGGAGCAACGCCGCGUGAGUGAUGAAGGUCUUCGGAGCGUAAAACUCUGUUAUUAGGGAAGAACAAAUGUGUAAGUAACUAGGCACGUCUUGACGGUACCUAAUCAGAAAGCCACGGCUAACUACG
This 495-nucleotide ribosomal RNA is filed under the name uncultured bacterium. RNAcentral's name for it is "partial 16S ribosomal RNA". It matches the Rfam family "Bacterial small subunit ribosomal RNA", at positions 28 to 505 of the family's 1533-position model. The record is from RNAcentral.